GGGGGGCGUGGUGAGCAGGUCCGGCGGCCCCAGCCCGCCGGCCCGGGAGCCCCUCUGCCGCGCUCCCCGUCCUCUUUGAAGUGACACUUGGGGUUAUUUAUAGGCAGGAAGGGGGUGUGGAGUGGAGCUGGCGCUGCACUUCCCUCUCUUUCUCCGGAUUCACACCGAGGGCUCGUUUGGCCUUCCACGGAGGCGGUGAGGCGGGCACCACCUUCCAUGGACGCGUUGGGGCAGGCACCACUCCACCUUUCCCAGCCCUUGAGACCCUCCAGGAACUCGACUGAGUUAUUGUCAGGGCUUGUGGGUGGAUCUCCACGUCCUGAUCAGGACUACCUGAUCCCUUCAGCCACCGCUCCUCUACUCCCAAGCCCCCAACCUCUUUCCCCUUCCUUCUCCCCCGACAACCGACUCCCCGGGGGCUCUGUACCUCCUGAGAUCUGCAGCUCCUCCAGUGCCGGGCGGCCAACCACAUCUUUACUCUGGGGUGAAAAGUCAGCCCUCCAGGGGGCAGCAGAGCUGGCAGCCCUUCCUCUCAGGACCAAGACCUGAGGUAGUAUGAGACACUGAAAACGGAGGAGAUCUUAUUCCAGGUAUCUGAGAGGUGGCUCAUUGGGGCCGCCUGCCAGUCCUGACAUCUCCCCUUCUUGCCUGCCAUUAAUCUGAGACCCAUGCCAUCUAUCCCUGUGUGGUGAGACCAGCCUGCCUCAAUCAUCCCAGUCAUCAAAGGACUUUGGAGGCCCUCAGGAAUGCUCAGGCAGUGAAAUCUAAACAGUUUGGAGCUGGAGCAUCCUUGUGAUUGGGAACUGAAAGAGGAGGGUGUUGCGCUAGCCUGACCUGGCCCCAGCAUUGCAAACCCUGGAGCUUCCAGGGGGACUCUGGAGUCAGAGAAACCUGGGUGUAAAUCUCCCUUUUGUCAAUGUGGAAGCUGCUGAACAUCUCGGAGGCUCAGUUUUCUCAUUUGUAAGAUGGGCUGAUAAUAAAAGUAUCUACCCGUCUGGAA
Homo sapiens (human) is the source of this 1000-nucleotide long non-coding RNA. RefSeq lists it as uncharacterized. The record is from RefSeq and is a predicted model, not a curated record. NCBI's taxonomy places the organism in Eukaryota, Metazoa, Chordata, Mammalia, Primates, Hominidae. The transcript has 2 exons.